AACACAGUCACUACAGUUUUUGAUGUCGCAGAUACUGCAUCAGGAACUGAUUGGGUAAGACUCAGUCACUAUCAGUUCCUAAUGCAUUGCCUUCAGCAUCUAAACAA
This 107-nucleotide microRNA precursor is filed under the name Nannospalax galili (Upper Galilee mountains blind mole rat). RNAcentral's name for it is "miRNA (ENSNGAG00000006859.1)". The stretch from base 14 to 106 matches the Rfam family "mir-217 microRNA precursor family". Lineage: Eukaryota; Metazoa; Chordata; Mammalia; Rodentia; Spalacidae. The record is from RNAcentral.